UACGGAGGGUGCAAGCGUUAUCCGGAUUCACUGGGUUUAAAGGGUGCGUAGGAGGGCAGGUAAGUCAGUGGUGAAAUCUCCGGGCUUAACCCGGAAACUGCCGUUGAUACUAUUUGUCUUGAAUACCGUGGAGGUGAGCGGAAUAUGUCAUGUAGCGGUGAAAUGCUUAGAUAUGACAUAGAACACCAAUUGCGAAGGCAGCUCACUACACGGUCAUUGACUCUGAGGCACGAAAGCGUGGGGAUCAAACAGG
This 253-nucleotide ribosomal RNA is filed under the name uncultured bacterium. RNAcentral's name for it is "partial 16S ribosomal RNA". It matches the Rfam family "Bacterial small subunit ribosomal RNA", at positions 524 to 776 of the family's 1533-position model. The record is from RNAcentral.